CGGACGGGUGAGUAACGCGUGGGUAACCUGCCUUAUACAGGGGGAUAACAGUCAGAAAUGACUGCUAAUACCGCAUAAGCGCACAGGACCGCAUGGUCCGGUGUGAAAAACUCCGGUGGUAUAAGAUGGACCCGCGUUGGAUUAGCUGGUUGGUGAGGUAACGGCCCACCAAGGCGACGAUCCAUAGCCGGCCUGAGAGGGUGAACGGCCACAUUGGGACUGAGACACGGCCCAG
RNAcentral lists this ribosomal RNA (235 nucleotides) under uncultured bacterium. RNAcentral describes it as "partial 16S ribosomal RNA". It matches the Rfam family "Bacterial small subunit ribosomal RNA", at positions 99 to 334 of the family's 1533-position model. The record is from RNAcentral.